Molecule: ribosomal RNA, 480 nt
Filed under: uncultured bacterium
Lineage: Bacteria
Description: partial 16S ribosomal RNA
Rfam family: Bacterial small subunit ribosomal RNA
Source: RNAcentral
AUUGAACGCUGGCGGCAGGCCUAACACAUGCAAGUCGAGCGGAUGAAGGGAGCUUGCUCCUGGAUUCAGCGGCGGACGGGUGAGUAAUGCCUAGGAAUCUGCCUGGUAGUGGGGGAUAACGUCCGGAAACGGGCGCUAAUACCGCAUACGUCCUGAGGGAGAAAGUGGGGGAUCUUCGGACCUCACGCUAUCAGAUGAGCCUAGGUCGGAUUAGCUAGUUGGUGGGGUAAAGGCCUACCAAGGCGACGAUCCGUAACUGGUCUGAGAGGAUGAUCAGUCACACUGGAACUGAGACACGGUCCAGACUCCUACGGGAGGCAGCAGUGGGGAAUAUUGGACAAUGGGCGAAAGCCUGAUCCAGCCAUGCCGCGUGUGAAGAAGGUCUUCGGAUUGUAAAGCACUUUAAGUUGGGAGGAAGGGCAGUAAGUUAAUACCUUGCUGUUUUGACGUUACCAACAGAAUAAGCACCGGCUAACUUCG